GACAGUUCGGUCCCUAUCUGUCGUGGGCGCAGGAAAUUUGAGAGGAGCUGUCCUUAGUACGAGAGGACCGGGAUGGACGUACCGCUGGUGCAUCAGUUGUUCCGCCAGGAGCAUGGCUGAGUAGCUACGUACGGACGGGAUAAGCGCUGAAAGCAUCUAAGCGUGAAGCCCCCCUCAAGAUGAGAUUUCCCAGUAUGUAAGACCCCUUGAAGACGACGAGGUAGAUAGGUUGGAGGUGGAAGCACGGCAACGUGUGGAGCUGACCAAUACUAAUCGGUCGAGGGCUUAUCCAAA
This 294-nucleotide ribosomal RNA is filed under the name Paenibacillus helianthi. RNAcentral's name for it is "Paenibacillus sp. P26E partial 23S ribosomal RNA". It matches the Rfam family "Bacterial large subunit ribosomal RNA", at positions 2625 to 2925 of the family's 2925-position model. RNAcentral also lists the same sequence under 1 other name. Lineage: Bacteria; Bacillati; Bacillota; Bacilli; Caryophanales; Paenibacillaceae. The record is from RNAcentral.